AAAAACCCAAAUCUUUGUAAUUCCUCCAUACAAGGACUGUUCAAAUGUUCUAUUCACAAUGUCUCCUUUAAAAUUAUGCCACGUUCCAGAUAACAUUUAUCUGUCCUUCAGGGUUUUUUUUUUUUAAAUUUUUAUUUUGUAGAUAAAGUUUUACCCAGAAGCACAUGCAACACAUAUCCUGUAAGAAGGAGCACUUGACAUUUAGUUCCACACAAUGGCACAGCACAUAAUCUCAAUUGCUUGAAGUUUCUAGACAGUGCCUAGCACACUGGAUACACUCGUCACUCCCUGUGCUAGGAAGAGUCCUCAAAUGCUUUCUUAGGGAAGGGCACUAAGCAAGAGAGGCUCUCACAACCCCCUUUGCAUGGUGUGUGUGCUGCCUCCGGUGGCUUGAAGGUGUCCUCUCCAUUGGCCUUUAAUUAGUCCUCAUGUGUUCAGCAGGAGAGAAAGGCAAGGAUCAGACCAGAGAGCUGCUGAAGGGAGGAUGGCUUUCAAGUACAGUUCCCUUCAAUCAUCGUGUCCUGGAUUCUACCUUGUCAGCUUUGCUGAAUAAGCUAAGCCGUCCUUAUAUGGCAUGACACACAAACUAGUUACUUUCAACUCAUCCUGAAUUGUAUAUUUGAACAUAUAUUGGUGAUAGUCAUAUCUUCUAUAUUUCUCUGUCUGAGAAAGUUAUUUGGGGAUUUUUUAGAGUUGAAAUGGGAUGCCUCAAUAUUUCCACCCAUUUACUUAAAUUGAACAAUGUCUUUAAAUUUUACAGUUUUUCACUCAGUGGCAGAUUUUCUGGGGUCAAACAAAAUCCUUAAGAAAAAAAUGAGCAUUUAGGGAAAGAGACAUGAAUAUAGCAGAUGGGUCACCGGUGGUUGAUGUUAACCUGUGCUCUAACUCUGAAAACAACAAAUGUCAGUUGAUUGAAAGAUGUGGUUUAUUUAGCUCUAGCAGGUGUAUGCAGUAGGAGAAUGGCCAUAGGGGUUGGUCUACCAACUGUGUGUGUGCGUGCCACAAGGGUUUUCUCUCAAUGCCAGCAUUCCCCCCAGGAAGAAGGGAUUAGGCUCAUGAGACCCUGGAAGUAAACUUCAUAUAGCUGGAAAGCUGAAAGUUACACAGUUCAUGAGGACCCCUACCCAAGGUUGUAGAAGCAGUAGACAUCAGCUAGAGGAGGCGACUUUGACUGACCCUAGUUGUGGACAGGGCCAGUUGGAACUCACCGUAAGUCAUAUAGCGAGCUACAGAGUUGCAGCUUUUGAGAAUCUUCACCCGUGUUGGGUGGACUCUUCCGUGAUACAGCUGCAUUUGGUUCCCCCCUACUCCUGUAAGGAACUCCUCCCCCGAUGUCCCUGUAAGUAACCCCAAUAAGCUUAUUGGUUCACUAAGCCCGACUUCGGCGGAAUAGUUUCUCUUGGUCUGUCUUCAGCUCCGCUUUCACGGUGAGUAGAUGUAUGUGUGCCAUGCCUCCCCGGGAAAAAUCUCAACCUAAUGAGAGUUAAUACACACUGCAUAACUCCCUAAACAUCAUCAAUAUCAACAGAAAUACAUAAUCUCAUGAAACUGAGGGAAGUCCUAGAAAAACAGCUCAAAGCAUUGAGCAUUUUUGUCUCCGGAAAUGAACACUGGAUUUCAUGGGACUGUCUGGCUUUUCAGUCAGUAAUAACUAUUUUUAUGAAAUCUUUAGUUAGCGUACACAAUAAAGGACUUCAUUAUGACAUUCUUAUACAUGUGUAUCAUUGAGCCUUGCUCAUGUUCAGGUAAUAAAUAUUCAUUAGGGAAUGCUUAGGAAAUUCAAAUAUGGAACCAAAGUAAAAUAGAACGAUUUAUAACAAUGUACAAACCCAGAACAGCUAUCCGUGAAGCAGUGAUGUGAUGGUUUUGUCUUUCUGUUUUGUACACAGGCACGCACAGUUGAGAAAUAAAGGCGAGCUCAUGCUGUAAAUAUUGCUUUUCAGUCUGCAUUUAAAGUAUUGUGGGGACACAUUCAGUUUGCUUUUAUGGUGUGUGGUCUGUGUCACACAUAGAGCACUAGCUAUGUGUAAACGGGAACUCUUGAAAUACUCCUAUGAAACUGCAGGGUUACAGGUUCAGUGCUUCAGUACAAACAUGUCCGAGGAAAAAGACGUCAGAAUUUCGCUGGAGCAGAGAAGUGAUUCGAAAGAUUACACAGCCGAUUGCUAAGGACAGAAAGUUCUUCUCGUCAUGAGGGACACAAAUAGGCUUGGAUGUCUAUCAGAUGCAACUGGAAACACUCCUCAAAAAGCCAUGCACUCUUAGUAAUGACUGCAAAGGAAGCUUCGUGUCUAGGGACAGUAAUGGAGCAGUAUCAUGAUGCCCACGGUUGUGGAGUCGUAUCUGGACGGACACAGAAGGUAAGCAAAUGUCCAUCCAAAGUCACGGCCUUUCUGUGCUACAGCUACCAAUAAUGGAAAGGAAGAAAGGAAGGGAGAGAGAGAGAGAGAGAGAGAGAGCCUAUUUACCGAGCUGUGGAGAAGACUCAGCUAACUUUCUAUUCUCUUUAUAAAACAAGAAUAUUUCAAAGUCAUAAGUGAGCAGAGUGUGCAGUCAAAAGACAAAAAAAGAGGAAAAAUACACAUGACUGUAAAUUAAUUUUUAAAAAGUCAUUUUUUUUUCUGAAUGUUGUGAUGCUUGUAGUAUUUUUGUCAGCUGUUUAAAGCUGCGUAAACUUUGUAGUUUCUUUCCUCCUUAUAAAUCAGUAUUCACCCAGG
This is a long non-coding RNA of Mus musculus (house mouse), 2717 nucleotides long. RefSeq annotates it as predicted gene, 34268. The record is from RefSeq and is a predicted model, not a curated record. NCBI's taxonomy places the organism in Eukaryota, Metazoa, Chordata, Mammalia, Rodentia, Muridae. The transcript has 2 exons.